AUAAAUAUGUUGUAUUUUGAUGUAUUUGUUUAUUGGAAUAUACGCAUGGAACCUCUACGAAUCUGUUAAACCUGGAAUAGGAAGUCAACGAUGCAACUAGUGCAGUGUUUGCAGGCUGCCGCUGCCGCUGAUGAUCAAUUUUCCUUGUCAUCAGUUUCUUUAAGGAUUCUGGAAAAGAUGGACCUCGUUGGGUUGUUGUGAGUUUGUAUCUUUGGGGGAGAAAGCUGAAGGAUGCAUAGUAACAAUAUUGGAAUAGCAACUGCAUUCUUACAGCUCUACUGACAUGCAAAGGGUAAAUGGUCGUUUACAAAGGUGAGAGAGUGACAUUGAAUCACAUGACACAAACAGACAGGAGAUAGAGGAGCUAAUGUGCUGUUCAUCAAUGCAGUGUUGAAGCGCUGGGAAGCCGAAACGGGAGUUGACCACUUAGAGCCUGGAGAAAGGGCUGCCUUCAACAAUAAAAUAGGU
Polyodon spathula (Mississippi paddlefish) is the source of this 468-nucleotide long non-coding RNA. RefSeq lists it as uncharacterized. The record is from RefSeq and is a predicted model, not a curated record. The transcript is spliced from 3 exons. Lineage: Eukaryota; Metazoa; Chordata; Actinopteri; Acipenseriformes; Polyodontidae.